UGAUAACCAGCGCCGGCUGGUUAUCAGCAAAAGUGUAGACCGACAAUUCUUAGGCCGUAGAUAGAAUUGUUGGUAGACACUUUUUUUA
RNAcentral lists this non-coding RNA (88 nucleotides) under unclassified sequences. The record is from RNAcentral.